Molecule: ribosomal RNA, 305 nt
Filed under: uncultured bacterium
Lineage: Bacteria
Description: bacterial SSU rRNA
Rfam family: Bacterial small subunit ribosomal RNA
Source: RNAcentral
CCUACGGGGGGCAGCAGUGAGGAAUAUUGGUCAAUGGGCGAGAGCCUGAACCAGCCAAGUCGCGUGAGGGAAGACGGUCCUAUGGAUUGUAAACCUCUUUUGCCGGGGAGCAAAAAGCGGUACGUGUACCGCAUCGAGAGUACCCGGAGAAAAAGCAUCGGCUAACUCCGUGCCAGCAGCCGCGGUAAUACGGAGGAUGCGAGCGUUAUCCGGAUUUAUUGGGUUUAAAGGGAGCGUAGACGGCAUAGCAAGUCUGAUGUGAAAGAUCGGGGCCCAACCCCGGGCCUGCAUUGGAAACUGUUAAG